Molecule: ribosomal RNA, 429 nt
Filed under: Gemmatimonadota bacterium
Lineage: Bacteria; Pseudomonadati; Gemmatimonadota
Description: Gemmatimonadetes bacterium partial 16S ribosomal RNA
Rfam family: Bacterial small subunit ribosomal RNA
Source: RNAcentral
UAGGGAAUCUUCGGCAAUGGACGAAAGUCUGACCGAGCAACGCCGCGUGAGUGAAGAAGGUUUUCGGAUCGUAAAACUCUGUUGUUAGAGAAGAACAAGGACGUUAGUAACUGAACGUCCCCUGACGGUAUCUAACCAGAAAGCCACGGCUAACUACGUGCCAGCAGCCGCGGUAAUACGUAGGUGGCAAGCGUUGUCCGGAUUUAUUGGGCGUAAAGCGAGCGCAGGCGGUUUCUUAAGUCUGAUGUGAAAGCCCCCGGCUCAACCGGGGAGUGUCCUUGGAAACUGGGAGACUUGAGUGCAGAAGUGGAUAGUGUAAUUCCCUGUGUAGCGGUGAAAUGCGUAGAUAUAUGGAGGAACACCAGUGGCGAAGGCGGCUCUCUGGUCUGUUACUGACGCUGAGGCUCGAAAGCGUGGGGAGCAAACAUG